CUCUACACGACCGUACCGCAAACCGACACUGGUGCGCGAGAUGAGUAUUCUAAGGCGCUUGAGAGAACUCAGGAGAAGGAACUCGGCAAAUUGACACCGUAACUUCGGAAGAAGGUGUGCCUUUAGUAGGUGAACCAUUUACUUGGGGAGCCCGAUGAGGCUGCAAAAAUCGGUGGCUGCAACUGUUUAUUAAAAACACAGCACUCUGCUAAGACGAAAGUCGACGUAUAGGGUGUGACGCCUGCCCGGUGCUGGAAGAUUAAAUGAUGGGGUGCAAGCUCUUGAUUGAAGUCCCAGUAAACGGCGGCCGUAACGAUUACGGUCCUAAGGUAGCGAAAUUCCUUGUCGGGUAAGUUCCGACCUGCACGAAUGGCGUAAAGAUGGCCACACUGUCUCCUCCUGAGACUCAGCGAAGUUGAAAUGUUUGUGAUGAUGCAAUCUCCCCGCGGAAAGACGGAAAGACCCCAUGAACCUUUACUGUAGCUUUGUAUUGGACUUUGAACAGAUCUGUGUAGGGUAGGUGGGAGGCUUUGAAGUGUGGUCGCUAGAUCGCAUGGAGCCAACGUUGAAAUACCACCCUGGUGUGUUUGAGGUUCUAACCUAGGUCCAUUAUCUGGAUCGGGGACAGUGCAUGGUAGGCAGUUUGACUGGGGCGGUCUCCUCCCAAAGUGUAACGGAGGAGUUCGAAGGUACGCUAGGUACGGUCGGACAUCGUGCUAAUAGUGCAAUGGCAUAAGCGUGCUUAACUGCGAGACUGACAAGUCGAGCAGAUGCGAAAGCAGGACAUAGUGAUCCGGUGGUUCUGUAUGGAAGGGCCAUCGCUCAACGGAUAAAAGGUACUCUGGGGAUAACAGGCUGAUACCGCCCAAGAGUUCAUAUCGACGGCGGUGUUUGGCACCUCGAUGUCGGCUCAUCUCAUCCUGGGGCUGUAGCCGGUCCCAAGGGUAUGGCUGUUCGCCAUUUAAAGAGGUACGUGAGCUGGGCUUAAAACGUCGUGAGACAGUUUGGUCCCUAUCUUCCGUGGGCGCUGCAGAUUUGAGGAAGCCUGCUCCUAGUACGAGAGGACCGGAGUGGACGAACCUCUGGUGUAUCGGUUGUCACGCCAGUGGCAUUGCCGAGUAGCUAAGUUCGGAAGAGAUAACCGCUGAAAGCAUCUAAGCGGGAAACUCGUUUCAAGAUUAGAUCUGCCGGGGCCUUGAGCCCCCUAAAGAGUCGUUCAAGACCAGGACGUUGAUAUGUCAGGUGUGGAAGC
This 1252-nucleotide ribosomal RNA is filed under the name metagenome. RNAcentral's name for it is "bacterial LSU rRNA". It matches the Rfam family "Bacterial large subunit ribosomal RNA", at positions 1632 to 2874 of the family's 2925-position model. The record is from RNAcentral.